CCGGCGCACGGGUGAGUAACACGUAUCCAACCUGCCGUCUACUCUUGGACAGCCUUCUGAAAGGAAGAUUAAUACAAGAUGGCAUCAUGAGUCCGCAUGUUUACAUGAUUAAAGGUAUUCCGGUAGACGAUGGGGAUGCGUUCCAUUAGAUAGUAGGCGGGGUAACGGCCCACCUAGUCUUCGAUGGAUAGGGGUUCUGAGAGGAAGGUCCCCCACAUUGGAACUGAGACACGGUCCAA
RNAcentral lists this ribosomal RNA (239 nucleotides) under uncultured bacterium. Its description in RNAcentral is "partial 16S ribosomal RNA". It matches the Rfam family "Bacterial small subunit ribosomal RNA", at positions 95 to 334 of the family's 1533-position model. The record is from RNAcentral.